UGGGGAAUAUUGGACAAUGGGCGCAAGCCUGAUCCAGCAAUGCCGCGUGUGUGAAGAAGGCCUUCGGGUUGUAAAGCACUUUUUAUCAGGAGCGAAACGCUGUCGGCUAAUACCCGGCGGAACUGACGGUACCUGAGGAAUAAGCACCGGCUAACUUCGUGCCAGCAGCCGCGGUAAUACGAAGGGUGCAAGCGUUAAUCGGAAUUACUGGGCGUAAAGCGUGCGUAGGCGGUUUCUUAAGUCUGCUGUGAAAUCCCCGGGCUCAACCUGGGAAUGGCAGUGGAUACUGGGAGGCUAGAGUGUGUCAGAGGGUGGUGGAAUUCCCGGUGUAGCGGUGAAAUGCGUAGAGGUCGGGAGGAACAUCAGUGGCGAAGGCGGGCCACCUGGGACAACACUGACGCUGAGGCACGAAAGCGUGGGGAGCAAACAGGAUUAGGAUACCCUGGUAGUCCACGCCCUAAAGCGAUGCGAACUGGAUGUUGGUCUCAACUCGGAG
RNAcentral lists this ribosomal RNA (496 nucleotides) under uncultured bacterium. Its description in RNAcentral is "partial 16S ribosomal RNA". It matches the Rfam family "Bacterial small subunit ribosomal RNA", at positions 355 to 838 of the family's 1533-position model. The record is from RNAcentral.